RNAcentral lists this ribosomal RNA (705 nucleotides) under Triticum aestivum (bread wheat). RNAcentral's name for it is "partial small subunit ribosomal RNA". Lineage: Eukaryota; Viridiplantae; Streptophyta; Magnoliopsida; Poales; Poaceae. The record is from RNAcentral.
AUGUUCACCUUGAUCGAGAGCCUGUCGCAGGAGAGUUUUGCCUUGCUGGCGGUCACGGCGUGGUCGAUAUGGCAUGCUCGCCAUAAAGCUAUUCAUGAGACAAUUUUCCAAAGCCCUCAUCAGAAACACUCUUUCAUCACAAGUUUCAUGGCAGAUCUCGGUGUUAUCAAUGAUUCAAACUGACGUCCUCGACAAGGAGUCAUUCAGGCUCCGCAACAAAGACAGAUCCCAAAGAAACCACCUCCGGGAGCUUGCAAAAUACAUGUUGACGCCGCUGUUUGCGCCAGAAGAGGAGGAGCGGCUGCUGCAGUUUGCAGAGAUGAGGCGGGGAAUUACAUGGGGGCUUCGGCGCUGGUUCUGGAGGGUGUCACUGACCCUGCGUCUUUGAAAGAGAUAGCUUGCCGUGAGGUGUUGUGUUUGGCGGAGGACCUGAAUAUCCACAAUUUUGUCAUUGCAUCAGAUUGCAAACAGGUAGUGUCAGAUAUUGGCCACAAUGCUGGAGGAAGAUAUGGAGCAAUUAUCAACGAGAUUCGCCUUUGAACUGUUAAUGUCCAAUGUAAUUUUACUUUCGAGUGUCGUGCUGCGAACUAUGAAGCACACGGUUUAGCAAAAUUUUCCCUUUCUAGAGGUCUGGGUCGCCACGUCUGGUUUGGCGUUCCGUAUAACCAGAUCCGUAUCCCACUUCAGGUGGCUUUUGAUGAAUAA